RNAcentral lists this transfer RNA (73 nucleotides) under Stegodyphus dumicola. Its description in RNAcentral is "tRNA-Thr". It matches the Rfam family "tRNA". From Rfam's summary of the family: Transfer RNA (tRNA) molecules are approximately 80 nucleotides in length. Their secondary structure includes four short double-helical elements and three loops (D, anti-codon, and T loops). The record is from RNAcentral. Lineage: Eukaryota; Metazoa; Arthropoda; Arachnida; Araneae; Eresidae. RNAcentral also lists the same sequence under 1 other name.
GCCUUCGUAGUGUAGUGGUCAGCACGCUCGACGCGUAUUCGAGAGGUCCGUGGUUCGAGUCCCGGCGAGGGCA